This 506-nucleotide ribosomal RNA is filed under the name uncultured bacterium. Its description in RNAcentral is "bacterial SSU rRNA". It matches the Rfam family "Bacterial small subunit ribosomal RNA", at positions 235 to 732 of the family's 1533-position model. The record is from RNAcentral.
GUCGCAUUAGCUAGUUGGUGAGGUAACGGCUCACCAAGGCAACGAUGCGUAGCCGACCUGAGAGGGUGAUCGGCCACACUGGGACUGAGACACGGCCCAGACUCCUACGGGAGGCAGCAGUAGGGAAUCUUCCGCAAUGGACGAAAGUCUGACGGAGCAACGCCGCGUGAGUGAUGAAGGCUUUCGGGUCGUAAAACUCUGUUGUUAGGGAAGAACAAGUGCUAGUUGAAUAAGCUGGCACCUUGACGGUACCUAACCAGAAAGCCACGGCUAACUACGUGCCAGCAGCCGCGGUAAUACGUAGGUGGCAAGCGUUAUCCGGAAUUAUUGGGCGUAAAGCGCGCGCAGGUGGUUUCUUAAGUCUGAUGUGAAAGCCCACGGCUCAACCGUGGAGGGUCAUUGGAAACUGGGAGACUUGAGUGCAGAAGAGGAAAGUGGAAUUCCAUGUGUAGCGGUGAAAUGCGUAGAGAUAUGGAGGAAAACCAGUGGCGAAGGCGACUUUCUGG